GGGGGUGUAGCUCAGUUGGGAGAGCGACGGCCUUGCACGCCGUAGGUCGCAGGUUCAACUCCUGUCACCUCCACCA
Molecule: transfer RNA, 76 nt
Filed under: Candidatus Marinamargulisbacteria bacterium SCGC AG-343-K17
Lineage: Bacteria; Bacillati; Candidatus Margulisiibacteriota; Candidatus Marinamargulisbacteria
Description: tRNA-Ala
Rfam family: tRNA
About the family: Transfer RNA (tRNA) molecules are approximately 80 nucleotides in length. Their secondary structure includes four short double-helical elements and three loops (D, anti-codon, and T loops). Further hydrogen bonds mediate the characteristic L-shaped molecular structure. tRNAs have two regions of fundamental functional importance: the anti-codon, which is responsible for specific mRNA codon recognition, and the 3' end, to which the tRNAs corresponding amino acid is attached (by aminoacyl-tRNA synthetases). tRNAs cope with the degeneracy of the genetic code in two manners: having more than one tRNA (with a specific anti-codon) for a particular amino acid; and 'wobble' base-pairing, i.e. permitting non-standard base-pairing at the 3rd anti-codon position.
Source: RNAcentral